RNAcentral lists this ribosomal RNA (429 nucleotides) under uncultured bacterium. RNAcentral describes it as "bacterial SSU rRNA". It matches the Rfam family "Bacterial small subunit ribosomal RNA", at positions 355 to 776 of the family's 1533-position model. The record is from RNAcentral.
UGGGGAAUUUUGCGCAAUGGGCGAAAGCCUGACGCAGCGACGCCGCGUGUGCGAUGAAGGCCCUUGGGUCGUAAAGCACUGUCGAUCGGGACGAAAGCUCCCGGGCUAACAUCCCGGGAGAUUGACGGUACCGGUAAAGGAAGCACCGGCUAACUCUGUGCCAGCAGCCGCGGUAAUACAGAGGGUGCGAACGUUGCUCGGAAUUAUUGGGCGUAAAGCGCGUGUAGGCGGCUCGUUAUGUCGGCUGUGAAAGCCCAUGGCUCAACCAUGGAAGUGCAGCCGAAACUGGCGAGCUAGAGUCCUGGAGAGGGUGGCGGAAUGCCCAGUGUAGAGGUGAAAUUCGUAGAUAUUGGGUAGAACACCGGUGGCGAAGGCGGCCACCUGGACAGCGACUGACGCUAAGACGCGAAAGCGUGGGGAGCGAACAGG